RNAcentral lists this ribosomal RNA (497 nucleotides) under uncultured bacterium. Its description in RNAcentral is "partial 16S ribosomal RNA". It matches the Rfam family "Bacterial small subunit ribosomal RNA", at positions 28 to 507 of the family's 1533-position model. The record is from RNAcentral.
GAUGAACGCUGGCGGCGUGCCUAAUACAUGCAAGUCGAGCGAACAGAUAAGGAGCUUGCUCCUUUGAAGUUAGCGGCGGACGGGUGAGUAACACGUGGGUAACCUACCUAUAAGACUGGGAUAACUUCGGGAAACCGGAGCUAAUACCGGAUAACAUUUAGAACCGCAUGGUUCUAAAGUGAAAGAUGGUUUUGCUAUCACUUAUAGAUGGACCCGCGCCGUAUUAGCUAGUUGGUAAGGUAACGGCUUACCAAGGCGACGAUACGUAGCCGACCUGAGAGGGUGAUCGGCCACACUGGAACUGAGACACGGUCCAGACUCCUACGGGAGGCAGCAGUAGGGAAUCUUCCGCAACGGGCGAAAGCCUGACGGAGCAACGCCGCGUGAGUGAUGAAGGGUUUCGGCUCGUAAAACUCUGUUAUUAGGGAAGAACAAAUGUGUAAGUAACUGUGCACAUCUUGACGGUACCUAAUCAGAAAGCCACGGCUAACUACGUG